AAUAUUGGACAAUGUGCGAAAGCCUGAUCCAGCCAUGCCUCGUGUUUGAAGAAUGUCUUCUGCUUGUAAAGCACUUUAAGUUGGGUGGAAGGGUUGUAGGUUACUACUCUGCAAUUUUGACGUUACCAACAGAAUAAUCACCGGCUAACUUCGUGCCAGCAGCCGCGGUAAUACGAAGGGUGCAAGCGUUACUCGGAAUUACUGUGCGUAAAGCGCGCGUAGGUGGUUCGUUAAGUUGGAAGUGAAAGCCCCGGGCUUAACCUGGGAAUUGCUUUCAAAACUGACGAGCUAGAGUACGGUAGAGGGUAGUGGAAUUUCCUGUGUAGCGGUGAAAUGCGUAGAUAUAGGAAGGAACAUCAGUGGCGAAGGCGACUACCUGGACUGAUACUGACACUGAGGUGCGAAAGCGUGGGGAGCAAACA
This 422-nucleotide ribosomal RNA is filed under the name uncultured bacterium. Its description in RNAcentral is "partial 16S ribosomal RNA". It matches the Rfam family "Bacterial small subunit ribosomal RNA", at positions 360 to 774 of the family's 1533-position model. The record is from RNAcentral.